AGGGUAGAGUAUUCAACCAAAAUUUAUUGAUUUGACACAAGGGGAAGCCAAAGAAUAUUCUCAAGUAUUAGCAGUUGAGUUGUCAAUUCAACCACACCUGAAAGAUUUAGUAUCUGCAGCAAAAUAUCAGUAGCAAGGUAGUGUGAUAGUAACAGUAGCAACAGUGACAGCAGUAGCGGCAAAGUAACGUAGUAAGGACCAGUAGGAAAAACUCACACGCAUUGAAUCAGUGAUGGAUGAUUAUGUCGGAUGCUAUUCA
Molecule: long non-coding RNA, 259 nt
Filed under: Hordeum vulgare
Lineage: Eukaryota; Viridiplantae; Streptophyta; Magnoliopsida; Poales; Poaceae
Description: long non-coding RNA (HVUL_LNC003879)
Source: RNAcentral